Molecule: ribosomal RNA, 539 nt
Filed under: uncultured bacterium
Lineage: Bacteria
Description: bacterial SSU rRNA
Rfam family: Bacterial small subunit ribosomal RNA
Source: RNAcentral
AUAGAUACCCAGGUAGUCCACGCCCUAAACGAUGCGAACUGGAUGUUGGGUACAUUACGGUACUCAGUGUCGAAGCUAACGCGUUAAGUUCGCCGCCUGGGGAGUACGGUCGCAAGACUGAAACUCAAAGGAAUUGACGGGGGCCCGCACAAGCGGUGGAGUAUGUGGUUUAAUUCGAUGCAACGCGAAGAACCUUACCUGGCCUUGACAUCUGUCGAAUCCUGCAGAGAUGCGGGAGUGCCGCAAGGAACGACAAGACAGGUGCUGCAUGGCUGUCGUCAGCUCGUGUCGUGAGAUGUUGGGUUAAGUCCCGCAACGAGCGCAACCCUUGUCCCUAGUUGCCAACACGUAAUGGUGGGAACUCUAGGGAGACUGCCGGUGACAAACCGGAGGAAGGUGGGGAUGACGUCAAGUCCUCAUGGCCCUUACGGCCAGGGCUACACACGUACUACAAUGGUCGGUACAGAGGGUUGCGAAGCCGCGAGGUGGAGCCAAUCCCAGAAAAGCCGAUCCCAGUCCGGAUUGGAGUCUGCAACUCG